UUCUGGUGCAGAGGUAGUGGACAACAGGGAUAGUUGGGGGCAUCAGUAUUUGACUGUCAGAGGUGAAAUUCUUGAAUUUGUCAUGGAUUGACUAGUGCGAUGGCAUUUGCCAAGGAUGUUUUCAUUUAUCAAGAACGACAGUUAGGGGAUUGAAGACGAUUAGAUACCGUCAUAGUCUUAACCAUAAACCAUGCCAACUAGAGAUGGGAGGUCGUUACCUGAAGGACUCCUUCAGCACCUUUUGAGAAAUUGAAAGUUUUUGGGUUCUGGGGGGAGUAUGGUCGCAAGGCUGAAACUUAAAGGAAUUGACGGAAGGGCACCACCAGGAGUGGAGCCUGCGGCUUAAUUUGACUCAACACGGGGAAACUUACCAGGGCCUGACACAAGUUGGAUUGACAGAUUGACAGCUCUUCCUUGAUUCUGUGGGUGGUGGUGCAUGGCCGUUCUUAGUUGGUGGAGUGAUUUGUCUGGUUAAUUCCGAUAACGAACGAGACCUUAACCUGCUAAGUAGUUACAUGAAAUUGCGAUUCUGUGGCCAAUUUCUUAGAGGGACUCUGUGUGUCUAGCAUAAGGAAGUGUGAGGCAAUAACAGGUCUGUGAUGCCCUUAGAUGUUCUGGGCUGCACGCGCGCUACACUGAUGUACUCACUGAGUGCCCCAUCUUGCCUGUAGAGGUUGGGCAGUCUUGCAAACCUACGUCGUGAUGGGGAUGGAUCAUUGCAACUAUUGCUCCUGAACGAGGAAUUCCUAGUAAAUGUAUGUCAUCAACUUGCAUUGAUUGUGUCCCUGCCUUUUGUACACACCGCCCGUCGCUCCUACCGAUUGAGUGGUCCGGUGAACAGUUUGGGCCUGCUGUGCCCUUCAGCUCCUGAGAAGUGCAGUGAGAAGUUCAGUGAACCUUAUCACU
RNAcentral lists this ribosomal RNA (906 nucleotides) under Gambierdiscus australes. Its description in RNAcentral is "SSU rRNA". It matches the Rfam family "Eukaryotic small subunit ribosomal RNA", at positions 849 to 1773 of the family's 1831-position model. The record is from RNAcentral. Lineage: Eukaryota; Dinophyceae; Gonyaulacales; Pyrocystaceae.